RNAcentral lists this ribosomal RNA (105 nucleotides) under Pteropus alecto (black flying fox). Lineage: Eukaryota; Metazoa; Chordata; Mammalia; Chiroptera; Pteropodidae. The record is from RNAcentral. RNAcentral also lists the same sequence under 1 other name.
UUCUUGGGGCCUCUUAAGAAUGAUUUGAUCUCAGAAGCUAAGCAGGGUCGGGCCUGGUUAGUACUUGGAUGGGAGACCACCUGGGAAGACCAGGUGCUAAGGUAU